AAAUCUUGUUUUGAAUUUAUGUUUCUGUAUACCAGCUGGUAACCGCUCAAACACCUUACUGGGCAAUGCUCCCAUGUGGAAGCAAAUUGCCCUUAAAUUUCAAUCAACUUAUCAAACUGAAAAUUAUAACAUCCCACAUAGUAUCCUUGAAUGUCAGAGGGUUGAAUGUCCCGGAGAGACAGCGUUUCCUCCUUGCUGAGUAAAAACGGGUAUGCGUGGAUAUUUCAACAGCCUCACUUUCGACGGGGCUCUGCGUCCUCUCUUCGGGGCUGCCGAUAUACCACCGGCUACUUUGGUUAUUAUGAUGGAGGUUAAGCCAGGGAAGUAGCAAUUUUGCUUGCAUCACAAAUACCCACUCUGGUCAAUGUAUAUUUACCUAAUAAAGACCCAAUUAAAACAUUGACGAAAAUUUUAGGUCUGGUAGUACAGGUUAAAAAAGGUAGUCAUUCUCGCAGGCGAUUUUAACUGCAUUUUUGAUACCUCUUGCGAUAAACAAUUGGCUAAAAAUCAGAGGAUAGAUAAAUCUCUUAAAAGGCAGGCUGUGUCGUUAAGCAGAGUGAUUAAGAAGGCGGAUAUGUUUGACUGUUGGAGACUGUUUCAUCCCAAUGAAAGAAACUUUACACACAGAUCUAUCCCUCACAAUUCGGCUGCUUGGAUAGAUAUGAUUUUGGGAAAUCUAAAAUUAGUUCAGGCAAUUACUCUAAUUUCUAUCGUUGAAAAUACUUGGUCAGAUCAUGAUAUGGUAAUCGCAGAUCUGGUAGAAAUUAAUAAGAGACCUCCGCAGAUCUGGAAACUGGCAGAUUAUCUGAUAAAAAAUAAAGCAAAUGUAGAACAUAUAGAGAAGUUAAUUGAUUUCUUUAUUAAGGAGAAUUCAACUGAGGAGGUAUCUGAAGAAUGCUUAUGGUCCUCGUGUAAAGUAGUCAUCAGGGGACACUGGAUAAAACUUUCAAGUUUCCAAAAAAAGAAUGUAGACAAUAUUUUGUCAGAUCUUUUAUAUCCAAUUUUAUAAUCUCUCUAAAGCGAACAAGUUUAUUCUGAAGAGAGAGCCUUAGCUAUUAAAGUCUACCAAGAAAAGAUAAAUGAUCAGAUUAAGAAUAGGGUGGAACGUAACCUAAAUAAGUUAAACAUUAAAUAUUAUUAUAAGAACAACCGGGUAGACUCAGUCUUAACAAAUAAACUGAAGAAAAAGAUGACCGACCAUAAGAUAUCUAAAUUAAGAGAUGGAAUUAAUUACAUCUAUAACCCUGAAGAAAUUGCCAGUAAAUUUAGAGUGUUUGUUUUAUCAAAAACUUUAUAACCUGAAUAAAUCUCCCGACCAAGGUUUGUUGGAUAAUUACUUGAAAAAUUCCAAUCUAUCUAAAUUAUCUAACGAUCAGAUAGUGAAACUUAAUAGAAAUACAUCUCAUCAUGAAGUUGAGUUGGCAAUUGAUAAGCUUAACAGUAAAGCUCCUGGAGCGGAGAGGUAUACAAAUUUGUUUUUUAAGGUUUUUAAAAGACAUUUAAUUCCGUUGUUAACCGAUACUUUCAACGAAUUGGCACUCAAAGGGAAUGCAUCUCAAGAUUUAUUAAGGGCUCAUAUUACUCCAAUUUUGAAACAGGGUAAAAGCCCAAAUGAUGUGAGUAAUUACCGUCCUAUUUCUCUGGUUAAUGUGGAUAUGAAACUUUAUGCCGCAAUUUUAGCGGAACGUUUGAAAAUAGUCUUGCCAUCACUUAUACAUAGGGACCAGAUAGGUUUUAUUCAGGGAAGACAUUCCUCAAAUAACACCCGUAGGGUUCUGGAUAUUAUAGAAUGGGCUCAAGUUGAGGGAACCCCCUUUCUGACCCUGUCGGUGGACGCUGAAAAAGCCUUCGACAGGGUCGGAUGGGGAUAUUUGAAGAGAACUGUUACAGUUCGGUUUUGACGGGUGGUUCUUGAACGCAGUGGGAGCUAUAUAUUCGAAUCCCUCUGCCCGUCUAGUAGCCCGUGAUUUAUGCUCAGAUUGGUUCUAUAUUAAUAAUGGGACGAGACAGGGGUGUCCUCUCUCACCUUUAUUAUAUGUCUUAUCAAUUGAACCACUAGCAAAUAAUAUUAGACAAAAUGUAGGGAUUAAAGGAUUAGGAACUCAACUUGAUGAAUGGAAGAUAUGUUUAUAUGCUGACGAUAUUUUAAUUUCUAUUACGGAUCCCCUGGUUUCUCUUCCCCAUUUAAUGCAAGAAUUUAACCACUAUAGUAGUGUUUCAAAUUAUAAUUUGAACACGAAUAAAACAAUAGCUAUGCCGAUUUAAUAUACAUGAAGAUAAUUUAUUUUCCCUAAAGAAAGAUUUUGACUUUAAAUGGACAAAAAAAAAGAGUUUAUAUAUUUGGGGGUAAUUAUAACUGCAGAUAUAAGACGGACUAUGGAAAUCAAUUUUUUGAAGCUGUUAAAAGAGACUAAUAUGUUAUUAAAAGAAUGGAGAGUGCAUGAAAUCUCCUGGUGGGGAAGGAUAAAUAGUAUUAAAGCCUAUAUAAUUCCUAAAUGGGCAUACUUAUUCAGUAUGCUCCCUCUCGAUUUCGAGCUAUUGGCUGAAUAUGCUGCAAAAUAGCAUUACAGUUUAUGUUUGGAGAGGGAAGAGACCAAGAAUUAGUACAUCCACUCUAUCAAGGAAGGCCCACCAAGGGGGGUUGGGUUACCCCCUAGUCAAUCAAAUCUACCAGGCUAAUAGGCUUGUUCAUGCUAGUAGAUUACAACUAAGUGACUCUAUAGACCAAGCUUGGUAUAAAAUAGAGGCAGCCAGACUUGGUUUAGAUAACCUUGAAAUCCUCCUAUGGAGAGAGGCUAGUCAGAAUAAGCAUUUGUGCGAGAUUGGUUCUCAUUUUCCUUUGUCUUUAUCACAGACAUUAAAAGAAUGGACUAAUAUAAAGAAGAAGUUGAAUAUUAAAGGACCACUCUAGGCACCCAGACCACUUCAGCUUAAUGAAGUGGUCUGGGUGCCAGGUCCUUCCAGGGUUAACCCAUUUUUUUUUAUAAACAUAGCAGUUUCUGAGAAACUGCUAUGUUUAUGAAUGGGUUAAGCCUUCCCCCUAAUCCUCUAGUGGCUGUCUCAUUGACAGCCACUAGAGGCGCUUGCGUGCUUCUCACUGUGAUUUUCACAGUGAGAGCACGAUGCUUUCCUAUGCGACGGGCUGAAUGCGCGCGCAGCUCAGCCCAGGAGGAGAAGAGAAGGAGGAGAGCUCCCCGCCUAGCGCUGGAAAAAGGUAGGUUUUAACCCCUUUCCAGAGCUGGGCGGGAGGGGGACCCUGAGGGUGGGGGCACCCUCAGGGCACUAUAGUGCCAGGAAAACAAGUGUUUUCCUGGCACUAUAGUGGUCCUUUAAUAGAAAACUAUAUGAGAACAUUAGUCUAAGGUCGUUAGAAUGUUUUAUGCUAGAGAUAUACCUGACGAAUUGGUUCAAAGAUCCUAAUCAUAAGAUAAAAGAUCUUUAUAAUGAUCACCAAUUGAAAAGCUUUGAAGUUUUGAAAAACUGGCUAGAUUUACCUUCUAGAGAAUUAUUUAAUUUUCUUCAUAUUAAGAGCUACUUGAAAGAUAGCAUACUGGCUUUAGAUGGACGUUUUGGAAAAUUGUUUAGGAAAAUCUUUUUACGAUGUAACGUUAAAUUUUUUUUCUCUAUUGCAGUUGAACUAAUAAAAUUGAAAGUGACCCCACCUAUCCCCAAAGCCUUAACCAAACGGAAAACUGAUUUAGCAGUUUCAAUUCCAUUUAAUAGUUGGUGUAAAUCCUUUAUGAGGACUUAAAAAACCAUUCAUUUCUAGAGAAUUUUACUAAAAUAUUGUACAGAUGGUACUUGGUACCGUCUAGACUUGCUAAAAUUUCCAUUACUAAUCCAUCUAAUUGUUGGCGGUGUCAACACCCAGAUGGCUCUAUGUUUCAUAUAUGGUGGACCUGCCAUCGAAUUAAGUCUCUCUGGAUUAUUACAUUUGAAUUUAUAAAUAGAAUUGGAGGUAUACAUUUAAAAUUUAAACCGGAAGUCGCCCUACUUCAUCUUAUGGGCUUAGAAAUAAAGGAUAAUAUUGAUAUUGUGAUUAUACACUGUUUAAUGGCUACCAAAAUAUUAAUUGCUAGAUUUUGGAAAAGUACUGAUAUUCCUACUAGAGAUCAAGUUAAAGCCCAACUCCUAUUCCAAGUCGAGAUGGAAAAGGGGUUAAUGUAUAUGAGAGAAUAUCCUAAUUUUAAUAUUUUGACGUUUUAUUCCAGUAUUGUUGAAAAAAUUAUUGGGCUUUAAAUGAGCUGGAGGAGCUGGGGUUACUGCAUACAUUCACCUUAUGGCAAAUUUGAUGAUCUCAUAAUGGGCUCUAAUUUCGGGUCCCUUGCCCACAUCCUGAUAUUACUUAAUGUAGUAUUGGAUCUGCAAUAUAUCUGACCAGUUUUGUCUUUGUUUUUAAGGCCGUUUUUGGACCAUGAUAUCCCCUUCAGGGGAUUUUAAUGUUAGUAUAUUAUUGUGUACUUGAUGGCUUAUUUCUGACGUAAUUUGAAAUAGAAUAAUAUACCUUUUGUAUGUUUAAUGGGGAUAGGAGUCCUUAUUUUUUCUGUAAGGUUCCUUCCCCUAGAUGUUCUUAUGUCUAUCAAUGCUUUCAUAAAAAAAAAAAAAAUCUAAUAAAAG
Non-coding RNA from Pelobates cultripes (western spadefoot toad), 4617 nucleotides. Lineage: Eukaryota; Metazoa; Chordata; Amphibia; Anura; Pelobatidae. The record is from the annotation of a GenBank genome assembly.